Diachasmimorpha longicaudata is the source of this 3099-nucleotide long non-coding RNA. RefSeq lists it as uncharacterized. The record is from RefSeq and is a predicted model, not a curated record. Lineage: Eukaryota; Metazoa; Arthropoda; Insecta; Hymenoptera; Braconidae. The transcript has 4 exons.
ACCAAACAAGCUCGACAUAGUAAACCCACUGUCCGAAAAAAAAAUGUAAUAAAAAAGCAGUGAAAGAGUUCAUCGACAGCUGUACUAUCGAACAAGACAAGAUGCUCACCUCCGUGACGUCCAUAACUUUAAUGGCUGCCAGCUGGCCGGUCUUGGUGUGUCGACCCUAUAAACAAAAAGUUAAAAGAUCAUUCUCUGUUGCCAGGAAAAAAUAUAUCAAUCGUUGAAUCUUUACGAGAAUUUUAUGGUUGCCAACGGUUGGAGAGAAGUUCCAGCCCAUUAUUCAUGUAAUACGCAUGAUCAUGAAUGCUUUUAGACACUUUUUGUGUCAUUUAUCAUUAUUUAAAUGAAGAGUCAUAAUAAACUAGAAAAUCCAAGUGUAUGUGCGCAAACUCUGACAAAAAUCGUGUGUAUCCCAACAACGAGUAUGUAAAAUGUUGGUCUUUCUUCGGGAUGUUUGAAACACACCGCGAAACCGCACACUCAGUGUCAUCGGCCUCCGUUCUAACUUCACCCAUUGCGGGACUGGUGGACUCAAGUUAAUGCAGCCUCAAAGGAUUUUAGACGAACAUUAUGAAAGGGACAGGCGAUGAGAACAAUCAUUUGUUUUAAUAGACCGGAUAGAGGCUACCCAGGUCAUUAACUUCGUCAUUUUGGCACACAUGCACGUUUCGUUUGUAUUCGGUUUCACCUGAGGAGAUAACAAUCAACGAUGAAACCAGCAUUUACAAUAAUUCCGCGGCAUCUUUUCUCAUUCCUCAAGUUCUCUUGAAUCAAUGCCGCUAUUUCCUGCGAAAUAGUACGUCUUUUACGCCCACGAAUCCAGCCUCUAGACUACAGUUCUCUCAGCCUUGAGUUUCCCUCCUCACCACGUCCCUGAUGAAUUUUUUUUCUCUUCCUGUCUGAAAUAUUCGCAAACUGAAAUUGCGUCUUCAGAUAAAUCGCAAGCUUAUAUUUCAAUUCGAACUUUGAGAAUGAAAUUUUCCUCCACAGUUCAACAAUAAAUAAAAAUCCUGCAAAUGGAAUUAUUUUCAGACAUGUCCUGGAUUGAAUACCGUUUUACCCACAAGAGUAAUGGUGAAUCGUGGUCCCCCUUCCCCCGACAAGGCCGAACGCACAAGGAUUCAUAUCUGUGUUUGGAAUUUGUUAGAAAUAAAAUUUCAUUUAUACGGUCUUUCAUUGAGAAGUAAGGAGUUUCACAGAGGAGACGAGCCAAAUUUCCCUCGCUUUGUCGCGAAAUACGGAAAUAGAACUGUUCGGUUGAGGAUCCUCUAGUCAGUGAACUUGAUGUCUCGAGUAUAACAGGGGCAAAGAGUGAUCAAGUCUCGGCCGCCAUCAAUGAAGUUGGUAUAUUAGAGAAUGGUAGAUCAACACUUGGCUAGAGACGAACUGAAUUCCAAUCAAUGAUUGAAUUGCAAAAAUAUUCCCCAUAUGGCAAAAAAUCAGAUGACGAUGUGAUUUUAAUUCCCGACAGUAUCUACUGGGGUAUCAACUUUCCCAUCUCAUAAAAAAUCUCAUUUUUCGCUUCAUAAUUCCUGAAAGUCUUUUCCAACUGAAGAUUUCUAAUUAAGUUCUGGAAAAGCUAUUGGAGCGUUACAGAUUGCUAACCAACUCCUGAAGUUAAAAAUAUUCAAAUCCAUCCAAUAAUGUUUCCAUCAGAGGUGACUCCCCAGUGACUGAAAAUUUUCCAAUAAAAUGCGGAAUUUCCAUUGACUCUUUUCCCUUUCAUUUUACACCAGCUAUUCUUUACUGUGAAAUAAUUCAAUGAAGGCUGGGGGAAAACAAACGGAAAUGUCACGCUGCGAGCCAACGAAAAGGGGAAAUAGUGAGUUUAAUCGGGACGAGAGAGACAGAGGAAACAAAACGCACACGGUGAAGCGAGUUUUCGCUGGUAAGAGAGAUAUAGCUGUACCCAGUGGUUUCUACUAGGAGUGAGUGUGAGGAUAACUCAGUGUCGCGUGGGAGUCAUGCCACAUGCCAGUCGUUUCCUUUUUUACGUACUUUGAAUUUUAUCAUCCGAGGAAUUGGAAAAUUGGAUAUUUAUUGACUUUAGGAAUAUUAUUUUCAUGUGAAUUGCGGUGUUUCAAGGUAACAUAACUCUUUGAAAAUCGCACCGACGACUGUAGAUAAUAAAAUUCAUAAUUAACACAAUCGCCUCGAAAAAAACAUUACGCCUAUUGAGAACAGUCGUCAAGGAGUGAAAACAGAAUCCUAUCUAUUUGAAACGCAAUCCCCAACCUGAGAACGGAAGCGAGAGUACGCGAUGAGCGUAGCAAGAUUAAAUAACUGAAAAAUGCCCCCAAAGCCCUCAAAGAUUUCACCAGUUUUACCUUGUAAACUUGACCGUAUGUGCCAUUUCCAACGACUUCGAUGAGCUCGAAGAUGCCUGCUGGAUCCUGCAAAGAAAUUAUAUGCAUUAAAAUGGUGGAAAACCAUCAUACCUUACACUGUAUGCCAUUGGGGGAAGAGGGGGAGAGGUGCAUUCUCGAAGGCAUUCCAUAAGUCAUUAUAUUGAUGACGCACACGCGUCAGACAACUCUCGACUCGUGUUCUCCAGUCACGCUGCGUUCUAUUCUGAUUAGUAAUACAUGAACAACGUGACGAAAAAAUAAUCUACAGAAAACUAUCCUAAAACUGCUGGUGAACCAUUUUGCCCACAACCAUCUUAUCGCUUAAAGUUUAGUCAUUUCAAUUUAAAUCUCAGCAAACGAUUAGGAGUUGGACUGUUUCAAAAAAACAACAAAUAAUAAACAUAUUAGAACUUUCGAUAACUGCACCCGUUUUUUAGAAGUUUACAGUAAUUGAAUUAAGCUCACGAAAAUUAAACAAAUUUCAAUCAUUCAUGGAUUGAUAAACAAAGAAUGUUUACAGAUAUUCCCCAUACUCGAUUCAACGGAGAAAUAUUAUGAUUAAAGGAAAUAAAGAAUGUGAUUUGUUUUUUCCUAGUUUUCCACCUCCGAUAGAAAAAUCCCUCUUCGACAAUACAUUUAGUAUUCUACAUGGUUCCUAUGAUUUCCAAACAUUCCCAUACCAAAACCCAAAAUCCACGUUUGAAAAAAUAAUCAAGAACUAAACUGAUAACAAAAACCCGAACUCCUG